Molecule: long non-coding RNA, 84 nt
Organism: Nicotiana attenuata
Lineage: Eukaryota; Viridiplantae; Streptophyta; Magnoliopsida; Solanales; Solanaceae
Exons: 2
Source: RefSeq, a predicted model, not a curated record
CCUUGGCAUCAUUGGUGUCGACACAAUCAGUGAAUAUUGGCAGGAAUUUGAAUAGUCAUGAAUCAGGAAGGGCACUCAAGUAAA